GAUGAACGCUGGCGGCGUGCCUAAUACAUGCAAGUCGAACGCUGGAAAUCUAGCUUGCUAGAUUGAAGGAGUGGCGAGCGGGUGAGUAAUACAUAAGCAACCUACCCACGAAGACUGGGAUAAUCUCUGGAAACGGGGACUAAUACCGGAUAGGUAAUCGGAAGGCAUCUUCUGAUUAUUAAAGGUUAAAAACACUGGUGGAUGGGCUUAUGGCGCAUUAGUUAGUUGGUGAGGUAACGGCCCACCAAGACGAUGAUGCGUAGCCGGCCUGAGAGGGUGAACGGCCACAUUGGGACUGAGACACGGCCCAGACUCCUACGGGAGGCAGCAGUAGGGAAUUUUCGGCAAUGGGGGAAACCCUGACCGAGCAACGCCGCGUGAGUGAUGACGGCCUUCGGGUUGUAAAGCUCUGUUGUAAGGGAAGAACGGUAGAUAGAGAAUAUCUAAAUGACGGUACCUUACCAGAAAGCCACGGCUAACUACGU
Molecule: ribosomal RNA, 485 nt
Filed under: uncultured bacterium
Lineage: Bacteria
Description: partial 16S ribosomal RNA
Rfam family: Bacterial small subunit ribosomal RNA
Source: RNAcentral